RNAcentral lists this ribosomal RNA (339 nucleotides) under Triticum aestivum (bread wheat). Its description in RNAcentral is "partial small subunit ribosomal RNA". Lineage: Eukaryota; Viridiplantae; Streptophyta; Magnoliopsida; Poales; Poaceae. The record is from RNAcentral.
AUGCAUCGUCUUAAAGAUAUACAGAAUUUUAACAUCGAUGUAUCGAGAUCCGAGGUGAAAGAAGCAUGCCCACUAAAUUGUCCUUGCGAUGGCUCAAAGGAUUGGAGAUCCCAAACUAUCUCCUUGAAUCUUCGAAAAGUGAAAAUUGAAGGCUUCAAAGGGAAGAAUCAUGAGUUAGAUUUCCUGAAAGUGGUACUUAGAUGCUCGCCAAUGCUUAAAAGUGUGACUGUGAAGCUGCCAGAUCAAGACAUGCCAAGUGAUGAUUGGUGCACAAAAAUACACAAUAUUUUUGGAGAGUAUCCAUAUGUAGAAGGCAACAUUGAUCUUAUCUCUGGUUAG